UGGAUUAAUCAUGACUCCUGGUAAUGGAUGGGUCUUAGACAGUGAACUCUGGACCAUCUGGAACUCUGAGGCCCAU
Molecule: small nucleolar RNA, 76 nt
Organism: Saimiri boliviensis boliviensis (Bolivian squirrel monkey)
Lineage: Eukaryota; Metazoa; Chordata; Mammalia; Primates; Cebidae
Product: small nucleolar RNA SNORD113/SNORD114 family
Source: RefSeq, a predicted model, not a curated record